Molecule: ribosomal RNA, 264 nt
Filed under: uncultured Flavobacterium sp.
Lineage: Bacteria; Pseudomonadati; Bacteroidota; Flavobacteriia; Flavobacteriales; Flavobacteriaceae
Description: partial 16S ribosomal RNA
Rfam family: Bacterial small subunit ribosomal RNA
Source: RNAcentral
CGCUGAGUUUGAUCCUGGCUCAGGAUGAACGCUAGCGGCAGGCUUAACACAUGCAAGUCGAGGGGUAUAGUUCUUCGGAACGUAGAGACCGGCGCACGGGUGCGUAACGCGUAUGCAAUCUACCUUUUACAGAGGGAUAGCCCAGAGAAAUUUGGAUUAAUACCUCAUAGUAUGUGAGAAUCGCAUGGUUUUCACUAUUAAAGUUCCAACGGUAAAAGAUGAGCAUGCGUCCCAUUAGCUAGAUGGUAAAGGUAACGGCUUACC